GCUGUACUGGUUAGAUUGGGAUACUCAUCAAUUAGAAUAGAAAUGCCGAGAUAGCUGACUUGUUCAAUGGCGUGCCGAUAUGCGUGGUAGCCUAUACGGCGAGACGUAGGGUCGGAUUACAGAGACUUGAAGGCACUCAAAUCCUUACAUACUCGGAGUUUCAUCAUCAUUACCGGUACAGCCUUC
This 186-nucleotide small RNA is filed under the name uncultured Alloprevotella sp. RNAcentral describes it as "Bacteroidales-1 6S-Bacteroidales RNA suggested". It matches the Rfam family "Bacteroidales-1 6S-Bacteroidales RNA suggested". Lineage: Bacteria; Pseudomonadati; Bacteroidota; Bacteroidia; Bacteroidales; Prevotellaceae. The record is from RNAcentral.